AACGACUCUCGGCAACGGAUAUCUCGGCUCUCGCAUCGAUGAAGAACGUAGCGAAAUGCGAUACUUGGUGUGAAUUGCAGAAUCCCGUGAACCAUCGAGUCUUUGAACGCAAGUUGCGCCCCAAGCCUUCGGGCCGAGGGCACGUCUGCCUGGGUGUCACAA
Molecule: ribosomal RNA, 162 nt
Filed under: Boechera gunnisoniana
Lineage: Eukaryota; Viridiplantae; Streptophyta; Magnoliopsida; Brassicales; Brassicaceae
Also listed under: 3 other names
Description: 5.8S ribosomal RNA
Rfam family: 5.8S ribosomal RNA
About the family: 5.8S ribosomal RNA (5.8S rRNA) is a component of the large subunit of the eukaryotic ribosome.
Source: RNAcentral